UAGUGUUUGUUUAGUGUUCCUGUCCAUCAAAGAUAUAGAUAUGGGAGUACAUGUGUGUUGUUUGUUUUGUGAGACACAAAAAAGAGAGAGACACGGUUACACACAAGAGUACAUAAAAUACAUGUAUUUUGUGUCUCUCCCAAAUCAUGAGACACGAAUUUUCAUUCUGAGACAAAUUAAACUAAAAUUUUGGACAAAUUUAUCCUUAGUAUUUUUGAAAAUUCCAAAUUUAUCCAAACCAUUUGGCCCUUCUCUUCUCCUCUAUCAGUGCCUCAACCCCAUUCUUCUUCUUUCCAGAUCUUCUUCCUUCUUUCUUUCUUUCUUUCUUAGAAGUCCGACCACUGUCUCGCCUCCGGCCUUUCUCAAUCUCUUUGCCGCCAUUGCUAGCCGCAUCCCUCACUUGGAACUCUGACUCAACCUCUCCUUUCACCAUUGUGUUGUCUCUCUUCUGCCUCUUGCCUUCUCACCGCAUUGCCCCCUCACCGUUUCGGACUCGCCGUUAAUAUGAAUGUUCUGGUUUUGCAACCUCCUUCUCUCUCGAAGGGUUCGGGUUACGGGAGUCCAGAUCCAUCGUCAUCCAGAUUCGCCGGCAGCUUCAAGCUUCGACGGCGCUUCCCUCCACAUCCUCUCUCUACCAACGUCGUUCAUCCUUUUCAGAAAGAACGUCUCUGAUCUUUUCCUCUUCUAUUAUUCCUUUAUUAAAAAAAUUAUCUGUGUAUUUUAUUUUAUAGAUAUGCAACAAAUUAAAAUUUUUGUUGAUUUUAUUAAAUUUAAUUUAAAUUGGCAUAUUGUUGCUUUUAUAUUUGGUUGAAGAUUAUAGUGGUAUUGAUGUUGAUGAUAACUCUAAAAGAAGAGAUUGGAUAAAAAUAGUGAUAAAAAAGAAUGAUGGGAAUAAAAUUGACAUUUUAGUAAAAUUUUAAGUUGUA
This is a non-coding RNA of Arachis ipaensis, 926 nucleotides long. NCBI's taxonomy places the organism in Eukaryota, Viridiplantae, Streptophyta, Magnoliopsida, Fabales, Fabaceae. The record is from RefSeq and is a predicted model, not a curated record.